ACGAACGCUGGCGGCGCGCUUAAGCAUGCAAGUCGGACGGUAAGGAAGAGCUUGCUUNUUCCCUAGAGUGGCGGACUGGUGAGGAACGCGUGGGUGACGCACCCUUCGGACGGGGAUAGCCGGUAGAAAUACCGGGUAAUACCGGAUAAGAGCGCCUCCUUAGAGGGAGGCGGAGAAAGCGGCUUCGGCCGCGCCGGAGGAACGGCCCGCGUUGGAUUAGCUAGUUGGCAGGGUAACGGCCUACCAAGGCGACGAUCCAUAGCCGGCCUGAGAGGGUGAACGGCCACAUUGGGACUGAGACACGGCCCAAACUCCUACGGGAGGCAGCAGUGGGGAAUAUUGCACAAUGGGGGAAACCCUGAUGCAGCGACGCCGCGUGAAGGAAGAAGUAUUUCGGUAUGUAAACUUCUAUCAGCAGGGAAGAAAAUGACGGUACCUGACUAAGAAGCCCCGGCUAACUACGUG
RNAcentral lists this ribosomal RNA (465 nucleotides) under uncultured bacterium. RNAcentral describes it as "bacterial SSU rRNA". It matches the Rfam family "Bacterial small subunit ribosomal RNA", at positions 29 to 507 of the family's 1533-position model. The record is from RNAcentral.